Molecule: ribosomal RNA, 408 nt
Filed under: uncultured Glomus
Lineage: Eukaryota; Fungi; Glomeromycota; Glomeromycetes; Glomerales; Glomeraceae
Description: SSU rRNA
Rfam family: Eukaryotic small subunit ribosomal RNA
Source: RNAcentral
AGCAGCCGCGGUAAUUCCAGCUCCAAUAGCGUAUAUUAAAGUUGCUGCAGUUAAAAAGCUCGUAGUUGAAUUUCGGGACCAUCAUGUCGGUCGUGCCUCGGUACGUACUGGCAUUGUUGGUUUCUACCUUCUGACGAACCUGAUGUCAUUAAUUUUGGUGUCUUGGGGAAGUCAGGACUAGUUACUUUAGUAAAAAAUUAAGAGUGUUUAAAGACAGGCUCGCGCUUGAAUACAUUAGCAUGGAAUAAUGAAAUAGGACGUUUGAUUCUAUUUUGUUGGUUUCUAGGAUCGACGUAAUGAUUAAUAGGGAUAGUUGGGGGCAUUAGUAUUCAAUUGUCAGAGGUGAAAUUCUUGGAUUUAUUGAAGACUAACUACUGCGAAAGCAUUUGCCAAGGAUGUUUUCAUUAA